AGAGAGAGACAUGCGCGCAUAUCAAUAAGCGGAGGAAAAGAAACUAACAAGGAUUCCCUUAGUAACGGCGAGUGAAGCGGGAAGAGCUCAAAUUUGAAAUCUUCAAGGUUCUACCUUGACGAAUUGUAGUUUAUAGAAGUGUUUUCUGUUAGUGGAGUGGCAAAAGUUCUUUGGAAUAGGACAUCAUAGAGGGUGAGAAUCCCGUAUUUGGUCAUUCCUCCUAGCGUCGUGAUACACUUUCAACGAGUCGGAUUGUUUGGGAAUGCAGUCCAAAAUGGGUGGUGAAUUUCAUCUAAAGCUAAAUAUUGGCGAGAGACCGAUAGCGAACAAGUACCGUGAGGGAAAGAUGAAAAGAACUUUGAAAAGAGAGUUAAACAGUACGUGAAAUUGUCAAAAGGGAAGCGUUUGACACCAGUGUUGUUUUUCCGAAAAUCAAUUACGAAUGUUUUAUUUUUGAGGAGUUAUGACUUCAUCGGCUUGCUCCUUUCUUUACGAAACUUUCUUAAUGCACUUUUCGGUUAACAAGUCAACAUCAAUUUCUUUUGUUGUAAAGGGUAUGAGGAAGGUGGCCUUCUUUUCGGAGAAAGUGUUUAUAGCCUCGUGCCUCUGCAAUCGGAGAGAUUGAGGUCUGCAGCGUAGAUCCUUCGGGUUAGAUACGUUUGUGCUAAGUUAUAGCUUUUCAUAGACAACUUGUUGACUAUGUUUAGUCUUGUAGCUUACUCGCUGAUGCUAUUUUACCUACGCUUAGGAUGUUGAUAGUCACAGCGUGUAC
This 772-nucleotide ribosomal RNA is filed under the name uncultured Neocallimastigales. RNAcentral describes it as "partial large subunit ribosomal RNA". It matches the Rfam family "Eukaryotic large subunit ribosomal RNA", at positions 23 to 644 of the family's 3401-position model. The record is from RNAcentral. Lineage: Eukaryota; Fungi; Neocallimastigomycota; Neocallimastigomycetes; Neocallimastigales.